GAUGAAGAACGCAGUGAAAUGCGAUAAGUAGUGUGAAUUGCAGAAUUCAGUGAAUCAUCGAAUCUUUGAACGCACCUUGCGCCCUUUGGCCAUUCCGAAGGGCAUGCCUGUUUGAGUAUCAUGAACACCUCAACUCUUCAUGGUUUUCCAUGAUGAGCUUGGACUUUGGGGGUCUUGCUGGCCUGUGGGUCGGCUCCUCUCAAAUGAAUCAGCUUGCCGGUUUUUGGUGGGCAUCACAGGUGUGAUAACUAUCUACGCUUGUGGUUUUCCACCAGGGUAACCUUCAGCAGUGGAGGUUCACUGGAGCUUACAAAUGUCUCUCCUCUGUGAGGACAGCCCUUUGAAUGUUUGAUCUCAAAUCAGGUAGGACUACCCGCUGAACUUAAGCAUAUCAAUAAGCGGAGGA
Molecule: unclassified non-coding RNA, 406 nt
Filed under: soil metagenome
Description: partial contains 5.8S ribosomal RNA, internal transcribed spacer 2, and large subunit ribosomal RNA
Rfam family: 5.8S ribosomal RNA (bases 1-121)
Source: RNAcentral